UGAGUCUCCUUUGCAUUUCACGGGUCGGUUUUGCAUCUUCUUCUAAGUGAAUGCGAUGCAUGCAAAUAGAUGGGUCAAUCCCCUUUAGAUCAGUUACGGACCAUCCAAUUGCAUGUUUGUGUUCUCCGAGUACACUCAAAAGUUGACUCUCCUGUUUGUCAGACAGGUCAACCGCGAUGAUUACAGGUAGGGUAUCUUCGGAGCCUAGAAAAGCAUACUUAAGGGUUACCGGAAGUGGCUUUAACUCAAGUUUGGGAGGGAACUCGAUGGAGGGGCACUGUGGCGUACUAGAAAGGGUAGGAAGAGGUUCAUAUCGGAUACCCCAAGGAUGAGAAUUUGUGAGAGACGGAUUGUCAAGUAGGACAUUGACUUCUUCUAUGGCCUUGUUUAAAUCAAAAUUAUCAAUGUCAAAAUGGACUAAACAUGCUUCCAAAAGGUCCUCUGCCAGAAUAUAGGGAAGGGCUUCUUCUACAAGAUUG
This 479-nucleotide long non-coding RNA is filed under the name Phoenix dactylifera (date palm). RNAcentral describes it as "long non-coding RNA (PDAC_LNC011119)". Lineage: Eukaryota; Viridiplantae; Streptophyta; Magnoliopsida; Arecales; Arecaceae. The record is from RNAcentral.